RNAcentral lists this long non-coding RNA (850 nucleotides) under Triticum aestivum (bread wheat). RNAcentral describes it as "long non-coding RNA (TAES_LNC011029)". Lineage: Eukaryota; Viridiplantae; Streptophyta; Magnoliopsida; Poales; Poaceae. The record is from RNAcentral.
AUAUGCAUUGUUGGAGUUAAAAAUAACUCUGAAGGGAUGGAUACAAUAAUCAACAAUCUACAAUAGCAACCGUAUUUGCCAAACCAUCCUCUUGACAUCGCUAGUUCAUCAAAAAAAAUUCUCCAAUAGCUACGCCUUCAUCUCCAACAGCUACGCCUUCAGGAAGAGAACGAUACUCAAGCACAGUCCUGUUAGGUCACAGUAGCACCCUCGCGCAUGCCUACCUUCCAACCUCAUCUGCCCCAACGAUCACAUGGCUUUGCGUCCCUACGAUGCCACCGUUGGUAGCACCCGGCGCCGCAUCAUUUUCCUAUCUCAUAUGCGGACAGUUCCCUCACUUUUCAAGCUUUAUACGCCACUUAUUUCCCGACUAGACUAUAUAUAUGCACACGCUCUAUAUGUUCUGUCACCAAAAGAAUAACGUGGAUAAGACUUUGGUGAUGCUGGAAAGAAAAUUCACAACACUCGUGCGGUCGAUGCCUAGCCAGAGAUAUAUACCAAAAGAAAGAAAACAUAGAACCUUUAAAUGCCGUGGGAAUGGAAGAGCUAACCUUAAUCCAGUGUAAGGGUGGCUUGUGCUGAGUUCUCGCGGGAGGUAGACGAAGUACCACCUGCCUUGGGGCGAGUAUAUGUAAGACAUCAUUGAAUAGUCAAGGCCAAGGGAGGCAAGUGGUUAGUAACUCUUGUCCUCAACCUUCAGCCAAGCUGUGAGCAUGCCAUGUGACGCGCGCGGUGCUACACCACUCACCUCAGGUACCACUUGGGCAGUAGCUUCCGAGAAGGUGCACUUGGGCAUCACUUAUCUUCCAAGAAGAAAUAUCAGCAUCAUGUGGACGAAAUUUGUGUGGGC